Molecule: transfer RNA, 25 nt
Filed under: Cissus verticillata
Lineage: Eukaryota; Viridiplantae; Streptophyta; Magnoliopsida; Vitales; Vitaceae
Description: partial tRNA-His
Source: RNAcentral
GGCGGAUUAGCCAACGAUAGACGGU